Molecule: RNA transcript, 1274 nt
Organism: Cataglyphis hispanica
Lineage: Eukaryota; Metazoa; Arthropoda; Insecta; Hymenoptera; Formicidae
Exons: 7
Source: RefSeq, a predicted model, not a curated record
AUAUCUUAAUAUCGGCAUCUCGCAAUAUCAGUGGUUUGCGUCUGUGUGUCCGUUGAUUCAAAUAUUUCCGAUCGAAAACCGUUUCCUCGUAUAUUUCGCGUUAUUUUCUCUCGAAUCGAAAAUGCAACUGAUGCACGUUCAUCACAACAGAUAUUCCAUCACCACGCAGUAGGGUUCCUCGCGGUAACAGGCGCCCAGAACUCGAGCGAUAUUGCGAUCUUCCAGAGCAGCUAGGAUUCUCACAUCUCUUUGGAAGUCCAACCUGUUCCGGAACAAGCCAGUUUCCAUCUCGAUACAUAUGUGUUCUACUUUGCCGUUCACAUCGUAUGGUGUGUUUUCGAGGUGUUGCCGCAACACAAUGACGUGGUUUCACGUUGCUCUUUCCCACAAGCUUUUAUCGGGCUGCGACGGAGCGAAGAAGAUCCAUCGACAUGGUUUGUCUCGUUCGACGAGCGGCGAACGUCGACGCGCGGGGAUCCGUAAAAUGGAGGGAGAAAGGGCGCUUCGUAUGUUUAAUAACAUUAACGUUGCUGUUGCAUCGAAGUACCUGUCGGCCCGGCCACACACUACGCUCGUCGAGGAAAAGUACGUGAACGGGACCUCUUAGCUGCCUUAGAGUGCUACGAACAGACAUCGACGAAAGAGAGUCGGUGGUUAAUUAUCGCUUUGACGGCGGCGGUUACCAUCAUGACCAGAAGUGGGGAUGAUUUUUCACGCUGGAGCGAAUCUGCCAUAAACACUCCGGGUAGUUCGAAGACCGGUGGAAGUGUCCGAUACUGUUUGGCUAAAGCACGACGGGGCGCCAACUGGGUGAAAAGCGGUGCGUAUAUAUAAGACGGCGAGGGGAAGAGAGAGAGAGAAAGAGGCGGGUCUCGUUAACCGCUGACAGGAAGGCGCGUAUAGCUCAUCGAGUCGAAUGGCCUUCCGGUGCUGUGAAAACCACCAGCGAAACACGUUCUGAAUAAGGUCGUGGAUGUUUGGGCGUUCGCCGUUUGAGCGGCAAAAUGGAUGAAAGAUCGACCGACGAUUCGGCACUGAGGUGCCGAGUGGCACGAUCAUUUGACAUUUUUCAACGAUUAAAAGAAAUCAUAAAUUGAAAAUUAAUAAAGAUAUUUGAUACUAUUGAAAAAUGAAAAUAUGUGAUAAAUUUAAAUUUCUCAGAUUUGAAUAUUUUUUAUCAUAAAUAUUUUAUCUUUACGUAAAAAUUAUGAUCUUUAUAUUUAGUAAAAUAAUAUUAUCGGAAUAAGAAUGUAAAAAUGUAUUCUUUGAUAUUC